Molecule: ribosomal RNA, 451 nt
Filed under: uncultured bacterium
Lineage: Bacteria
Description: partial 16S ribosomal RNA
Rfam family: Bacterial small subunit ribosomal RNA
Source: RNAcentral
AACGAACGCUGGCGGCAGGCCUAAUACAUGCAAGUCGAACGGAUGUAGCAAUACAUUAGUGGCGCACGGGUGCCUGACGCGUGGGAACAUACCCUUGAGUAAGGAAUAAUGUCUGGAAACGGACACUAAUACCUUAUAAUGACUUCGGUCCAAAGAUUCAUCGCUCAAGGAUUGGCCCGCGUCUGAUUAGCUAGUUGGUGAGGUAACGGCUCACCAAGGCGACGAUCAGUAGCUGGUCUGAGAGGAUGAUCAGCCACACUGGGACUGAGACACGGCCCAGACUCCUACGGGAGGCAGCGGUAAGGAAUAUUGGACAAUGGGGGAAACCCUGAUCCAGCCAUGCCGCGUGAGUGAAGAAGGCCUUAGGGUUGUAAAGCUCUUUCAAUAGUGAAGAUAAUGACGGUAGCUAUAGAAGAAGCCCCGGCUAAAUUCGUGCCAGCCGCCGCAGUAA